GGAGUUGGCCAGACAACCGCUGCUUUAUCGUAGUCCCUUCGGGAGACGGGUAGAGGGGAGGAAAGUCCGGGCUCCAUAGGGCAGGGUGCCAGAUAACGUCUGGGAGGCGCGAGCCUACGACAAGUGCAACAGAGAGCAAACCGCCGAUGGCCUGUUUUACAGGCACAGGUAAGGGUGAAAGGGUGCGGUAAGAGCGCACCGCGCGACUGGCAACAGUUCGUGGCAUGGUAAACUCCACCCGGAGCAAGACCAAAUAGGGGUUCAUAUGGUGCGGCCCGCAUUGAACUCGGGUAGGUUGCUGGAGCCAGUGCGCAAGUGCUGGCCUAGAUGAAUGGUUGUCCACGACAGAACCCGGCUUAUCGGCCAACUCCAAUU
Molecule: non-coding RNA, 375 nt
Organism: Providencia burhodogranariea DSM 19968
Lineage: Bacteria; Pseudomonadati; Pseudomonadota; Gammaproteobacteria; Enterobacterales; Morganellaceae
Source: Rfam